Non-coding RNA from Paralichthys olivaceus (Japanese flounder), 661 nucleotides. NCBI's taxonomy places the organism in Eukaryota, Metazoa, Chordata, Actinopteri, Pleuronectiformes, Paralichthyidae. The record is from RefSeq and is a predicted model, not a curated record.
CUGCCUGCGAGCGCGUGUCAGAGUGUGUGUGUGUGUGUGGAUGUCGGAGGCAGAAAAGAGAUAAAGAGAGAGAGAAAGGGAGGGAGAGGCGAGCGGCGUUUCUUCUCCCCCCUCUAGCCUCCCCGUCUCCCUGCUCCCUGUCACUCCAUCCUUCCUCCCCUUCUCCUGGACCACCCUCCAGCCCUGCUCCGAGCCGGACCGAGAACCCCCCACCCCCCCCUCCUACCUACCACCCAGACCACCCUGGACCCUUUGACUCUCCUCACUUCUCCGUCCCACCAACCACAGCCUCUGAGCAGGGAUUCCUCACCUGCCUCCCCCCCUUCAUCCCCAGGAGUGCUGUCUGUGAAAGCAUCUGCACAGUAUCCACUAAAUACAAGUUCCACAGUUGAUUUGAUCUCAGUACACAUCUGCUGGUGAGGCGCAGCGAAGUGCAUCGGCCAGACAUCCGACCCCCAUUCUGCUGGAAGGCUGCCAGCCACAGGUCACAUGACCUGGAAGAAAAAACCUAGGAGACUUUUGGGAUCCCUCUUCGCAUGGGCUGGCUCUCUACCUGAGGGGACGUCCAAAGGCUGAUGAACUGACCUGUGUCUGUGUGAGACCACACCGCUCUGCUGUCCUUUAUGCCCUGGGCACACAACAUCCAGCACAUAUCUGGUGA